GACGAACGCUGGCGGCGUGCUUAACACAUGCAAGUCGAACGGAAAGGCCCUGCUUUUGUGGGGUGCUCGAGUGGCGAACGGGUGAGUAACACGUGAGUAACCUGCCCUUGACUUUGGGAUAACUUCAGGAAACUGGGGCUAAUACCGGAUAGGAGCUCCUGCUGCAUGGUGGGGGUUGGAAAGUUUCGGCGGUUGGGGAUGGACUCGCGGCUUAUCAGCUUGGUGGUGGGGUAGUGGCUUACCAAGGCUUUGACGGGUAGCCGGCCUGGGAGGGUGACCGGCCACAUUGGGACUGAGAUACGGCCCAGACUCCUACGGGAGGCAGCAGUGGGGAAUAUUGCACAAUGGGCGGAAGCCUGAUGCAGCAACGCCGCGUGCGGGAUGACGGCCUUCGGGUUGUAAACCGCUUUCGCCUGUGACGAAGCGUGAGUGACGGUAAUGGGUAAAGAAGCACCGGCUAACUACGUG
Molecule: ribosomal RNA, 468 nt
Filed under: uncultured bacterium
Lineage: Bacteria
Description: partial 16S ribosomal RNA
Rfam family: Bacterial small subunit ribosomal RNA
Source: RNAcentral